This 94-nucleotide non-coding RNA is filed under the name Bowdeniella nasicola. Its description in RNAcentral is "Actinomyces nasicola Glycine sequence". It matches the Rfam family "Glycine riboswitch aptamer". From Rfam's summary of the family: This family represents the bacterial glycine riboswitch. Glycine riboswitches usually consist of two metabolite-binding aptamers domains with similar structures in tandem. The aptamers cooperatively bind glycine to regulate the expression of downstream genes. The record is from Rfam by way of RNAcentral. Lineage: Bacteria; Bacillati; Actinomycetota; Actinomycetes; Actinomycetales; Actinomycetaceae.
UGAGGCCAAUCUGGAAAGAAGGCGUAAAGCCUCGCCGAUGGUGUAAACCGGCCCGCCCGGUGAAUCUCUCAGGCAAAGGUACAGAGGGGGAAAA